Dermacentor albipictus is the source of this 1512-nucleotide long non-coding RNA. RefSeq lists it as uncharacterized. The record is from RefSeq and is a predicted model, not a curated record. NCBI's taxonomy places the organism in Eukaryota, Metazoa, Arthropoda, Arachnida, Ixodida, Ixodidae.
AAGGCACCGCGCGCGAUAUGUUCUCGUUUUGUCAUCGUCUCGCACAACCGCGGCAGCGCACACUGAUCGCAGCGUGGUGGCUCCUCUUUCUGUCGUGUUUGCGUCUCAAUUUUUUCGCCGGUUUCCUCAAGUGUCGGCAGGAGGACCGCCACGGCAACACACUGCGACCGACGGGUUUCGCCGACAGGUAGUCGGCGAUAUCGCGAGGGUGAUGACCUUGGUGCGGGCGCGGAGCGUCAACGGAGAACCCUCGUUGUCCCACUUCGCUGUAUGGGCACAGGCGCUCGACGUAGCCCGCUUCUCCGCAGUGAUAGCAGAGCGGACGGUGGUCCGGAGCUUGCCAAACGUCGGGCUUCGUUGGAAUGCUCCACUGGGUGAGGGUCGGGAAUGCUGACAGCGGCGGCGGUGGACGAUGGAAUUGCCGCGCGCCUGGCCCUGGCGCGGGCGUGGAAGGGGACCAUGGCGGCGGGCGACGGCAUCGGCUGGGGUCAAACUCGCAGUGCUGCUUCUAUUCGAACGUCGAGUCAUCCGUCUCUCGCAGCUCUGAAUGGUGUACUUGCCUGACAAAGUGACAGGUUCCUGUACCACUGGAUGCACUGCACACCACACUGCUGUCAAGAUGAAGCCUAAUUGUAAGCCUGGUUGUAAGAUGACUUUGGCAUUUACACCUGUUGGAGACCGCUCCUUGCAGUGCAAGUCACUCUUUUGGUCGAGCAGCUGUGCAACAGCGAUAAGCCAUCGUUUUAUGCACUGGGAACUCUACUGCAAGUUUACCGAUGGCAAAUGCUUCAAAUUCGAAGCGCUAGAAGACAAGGACGACCUUAAGCCUUCAAUGACACCUGCUGUAAGUCCUCCGCCUGACCAGGUUUUUCUAGGAGACUUCGAACGCAGUUUCAUGGAUGUCUGCAAUGCAUAUUAUGCCAUGAGUGAAAUCAAACACUACCAUGUUGUCGAAAAUAACUGCCAGACGUGGCUUGUGGCUUUUCUAGAAAAGCUUCAGCUUCCGCUUCCCGAUAAAGUAAGGACUAUUGCCAAGACGAUUGAGAAGAUCUUCUCCAGGCAUGGAAAAGGCAAAGCGUACCACUUUGUUGUCAAAACAGUUCGAGAUGCUUAUAAACUUUUAUUAAAGUCCCGUGACACAACUGCUCCUAAAGAGAAGGAAAAGAACAACAACAUUGAGGACGACAACGAAAAAAAUGAGAACCGAAUUUCCCAACCAGGAUUCUGAACAACUCCAUUGUGCUGUGUUUCCAAUCAACGAUUACCAGCGCACAGUGUGGUUUGUGUGUAGAAUAUUGAUAAAGGCUACCACGGCCUGAAUUGCUUAAUUACCAAUUUCACUCAACAUGCAACUGUGCCCGAUUUUUCUACAACCACUUCCACGCUCAAGUUUCUGCCCGAGAUGCGCUGUCGCCUAAUUUAGGGACGUAUAAAUAUUACAGAUAGACAGAUCUACAAAAUUUUUAAUGAGAGCAUGUAGCGACCGAUAGUAGUAAAGUAUACCCCCUUGUU